CCCAGACUCCUACGGGAGGCAGCAGUGGGGGAUAUUGCACAAUGGGGGAAACCCUGAUGCAGCGACGCCGCGUGAGUGAAGAAGUAUUUCGGUAUGUAAAGCUCUAUCAGCAGGGAAGAAGAUGACAGUACCUGAGUAAGAAGCCCCGGCUAACUACGUGCCAGCAGCCGCGGUAAUACGUAGGGGGCAAGCGUUAUCCGGAUUUACUGGGUGUAAAGGGAGCGUAGACGGAUGGAUAAGUCUGAAGUGAAAGCCCGGGGCUCAACUCCGGGACUGCUUUUGAAACUGUGAAACUGGAGUGCAGGAGAGGUAAGCGGAAUUCCUGGUGUAGCGGUGAAAUGCGUAGAUAUCAGGAGGAACACCAGUGGCGAAGGCGGCUUACUGGACUGUAACUGACGUUGAGGCUCGAAAGCGUGGGGAGCAAACAGGAUUAGAUACCCCGGUACC
This 447-nucleotide ribosomal RNA is filed under the name uncultured bacterium. RNAcentral's name for it is "bacterial SSU rRNA". It matches the Rfam family "Bacterial small subunit ribosomal RNA", at positions 330 to 794 of the family's 1533-position model. The record is from RNAcentral.